AUAUGUUUCGUACAUGAUCUAUUUUUUUAUUAUUACAUUUUAGACUAAGUAUGGAUCAAUUUUUUUGGUUUAGGUUUGAUUCAGAUUUCGGGUUAUGGAUUUUAUGCCCAAUUCUACUUUAAAUAAAGAGAAACACAAUUUAUCAAAAACUAUCCCGCGCUUAUCCAGUUUUAUUUAUUGUUGAAACCAUAUAUACCACUAUGUAAAAGCGACAAUACAUAGUGAAAGAUGUAUUCUUUGUAUUCCUUUUGUUGCAAAGCCAUAUUUUUAUGAUAAUUGAAAAUUGGUCAUCCCAAAUUUUAAUUCAUAGUUGAAUCAAUAAAUUUGAUUCUACACAGUAAAAUAUCUAUUGCUCUUAUUUGGGCUAACUUUGUAAUACAACAAAAGUCAACGCAAUAAUAACACAAGACUCUCUCCAGGGAUUGACAGCUCUGCUUUUUUAAAACAUGUGAGAGUGACAUGUCAAUAAAUGAAAAUAGUUGAAAAGCCAAUAAGAACAUUUCAUGUUUAAAUGUUUCCAGUCAUUGCAAUGUGACUUUGUUCUUUGUUCAUGUUACAACCGGAUGACAUGUGAGUUUUGGAGACGAAAGAGUGAUGAUCGUUUGACUUCUCUUUCUCUCUCUAUGUUUCAUUGAUACUGCACACACUCUGGUCCCUUCAAACCCAGAAGAUCUAUCUUCCUUGCAGUGCGCUCCUCAUGGCAAAACCACUGCGUUUCUCGCCGUUAUCGAAGAUCGAAUCGAGAUGGGUACCACCGCCUUUCUUGCCGUGAACGCAGAUCGAGUCGUCGCGCCGAGAUUUGAAUUGGGAGAUGGGUUUAUCAUUCUGAAGAUAAAAUUUUCAAAAGAAAUUAAUCCACAGGAGACGGUCAAAGAUCGAGAAGGCCAAAGAAACUGUUAAUCGAGAGCUCCCCAUAAAUCUAUGGAAGAAGAAGUUAUUGAUGUUAGACUCAAAUGGCUUGGAUUGUUACAUAACAGAAGCAUCAGUCUAUAUGGUAAGCUUUCCAUGAGUUGUGGAGUUACCUAAUGGUGUGACCAAAGUGCACAGACUUGGUGACUUGGUGCUAAGCGAGUGUGAUUAGGAAGUGUGGUGAAGAUGGAUGUUCUCAUGUGACAAAUAGACAGAACUAACAGUUCUGCGGGUGUUGUGUUGUGUGAUGUUCCUGAGACCUUAAUAUGUCUUUCUUCUAUUGGGUUAGCAAGUAUCUUACAGUGGGAUGGAUAAUUUGAGGAAUCUUACAGUGGGAUGGAUAAUCUCAUUCCAUGUUUCGUUUUUGUAAUCCUAUGUCUUUUUACUGGUCAAUUUGCGUAUUAUUUCGUCUUUAUACAUAUGAAAUACGUUGAAGUAGUUAUGAAUGACCAAAAUAGUGCUGUCGACGACCAAAGAUGUGAUCCACCUUUGUUUCUUUACUAGGUAAAAGUCAUUGUGACAACUUAAUAAUUCAAAUUUGGACGUACCUCCAUACCGUACUAUCUUCUACUUAAUUUCUUUAUACAAAAUUACAUUUAGUAAACACAUGACUUUCACAAUAUAUUCCACAAUAAGCAAUUAAGUUUUAACAAAAGAAAAAAUUACCACCUAACAUAAUAUAAUACUAUACACAAAACAAAACUAUAAAUUACACAAAAAAGAAUCUCAUCUUCAAGAAAAUAUCAAUACAUUUUUAAAAUAUAAAACAUGCUUAAAAUGUAAAAAAAAAAGAUUUAAAAGAAAAGUUAUAAUAAAUACCAAAAUAUAUUAUUAUCUACCAAUCAAAAUUUACUCAAAUAAAAUAUUUAUAACAUGUAA
This is a long non-coding RNA of Brassica napus (rape), 1788 nucleotides long. RefSeq lists it as uncharacterized. The record is from RefSeq and is a predicted model, not a curated record. Lineage: Eukaryota; Viridiplantae; Streptophyta; Magnoliopsida; Brassicales; Brassicaceae. The transcript is spliced from 2 exons.